RNAcentral lists this unclassified non-coding RNA (541 nucleotides) under Hevea brasiliensis (rubber tree). The record is from RNAcentral. Lineage: Eukaryota; Viridiplantae; Streptophyta; Magnoliopsida; Malpighiales; Euphorbiaceae.
AGCAAAGAAAGAAAUUCAUGUGAUAACGAUAAAAUAACAUAGCUCUAGAUGUUAGAUGAGCUCGCUGAGUGUUUGAACAAUGACUUUUAUUUUGGGCCUUAUACAAAAACUCCAAGCAGUCGACAGUCCUGGAAAUUUUCGAUGUUCAUGGAUUAAUGCAUAUGCCAAGCCAUGAGCCAUUGUCCUGCUCGACCUCACCCGGAGAAUAGCUUCACUAUGAUAAAGAUAGUGUUUAGCAUUAUAAGUGGUAGUCUCAUGAACUGGCAAGCAUGUAUGAGUCCAAUGAUCUGCCCCUUAAUAGAAUUUCUUUUGCUUCCUUGGAGUUCUGCCAGUGUCCAUCCCCUUGGAGCAAGAAACCUGUCUUCAUUCAGUAUUGCCAAUGCAUUUGCAAAAAGCAGGAGACCUUCCAGGAAAGUCCAGAAACCCAUUUUCUGCAACAAAGAAACAGAGACGAGAAGCAGUAAUCAAUUUAGAUGAAGCUCCUCAGGAACCUUCCCAAGAGCGAACGAGUCAACGACAGAUGCAAAGAAGAAAGGUUUCU